Non-coding RNA from Cavia porcellus (domestic guinea pig), 69 nucleotides. NCBI's taxonomy places the organism in Eukaryota, Metazoa, Chordata, Mammalia, Rodentia, Caviidae. The record is from Ensembl.
AAGAUAUUAGUAAAAACAUUACAUAACUUUGUCAAAGUUAAAUUAUUGGUUAAACUCCUAUAUAUCUUC